Molecule: ribosomal RNA, 378 nt
Filed under: uncultured eukaryote
Lineage: Eukaryota
Description: partial 18S ribosomal RNA
Rfam family: Eukaryotic small subunit ribosomal RNA
Source: RNAcentral
CAAUAGCGUAUAUUUAAGUUGUUGCAGUUAAAAAGCUCGUAGUUGGAUUUCGGGUGGGACGCAGCGGUCUCGCAUUGCGUUUGUACUGCUGCAGCCCUCCUUCUUGCCGGGGGCGGCCUCUCGGACUUCACUGUCUGGGGGUCAGAAUCGGCGAUGUUACUUUGAGAAAAUUAGAGUGUUCAAAGCAAGCUUACGCUCUGAAUAUAAUAGCAUGGGAUAACACGACAGGACUCUGGCCUAUCGUGUUGGUCUAUAGGACCAGAGUAAUGAUUAAGAGGGACAGUCGGGGGCAUUCGUAUUCCGUUGUCAGAGGUGAAAUUCUUGGAUUUACGGAAGACGAACAUCUGCGAAAGCAUUUGCCAAGGAUGUUUUCAUUGA